UACCUGAUUGAUCCUGCCAGUAUUCAUAUGGUUGUCCUAAAGAUUAAUCUAUGUAUGUGUAUGUAUGAACAAUUCAGACUGUGAAACUAUGAAUGGCUCAUUAAAUUAGUUAUAGUUUAUUUGAUGGUAUCUACUACUCGGAUAACCGUAGUAAUUCUAGAGCUAAUACGUGUAAAAAACUGACUUCUGAAAGGGAUGCAUUUAUUAGAUAAAAACUAAAGGCGGGCUGUACUUGUUACUGUAAUGAAUCAUGAUAACUCGACGGAUCGCACGACCAUCUUGCCGGCGAUGCAUCAUUCAAAUUACUUCCCUAUCAACUUUCGAUGGUAGGAUAAUGGCCUACCAUGGUGGUGAAAGGUGAUGGAGAAUUAGGGUUUAAUUUUGGAGAGGGAGCCUGAGAAAUGGCUACCACAUCUAAGGAAGGCUGCAGGCGUGCAAAUUACCCAAUAAAUAACAAUACCGGGCUCAAUGAGUUUGGUUAUUGGAAUAUGUACAAUAUAAAUCCCUUAAUGAAGAUCUAUUAGAGGGAAAGUAUGGUGCCAUAAUCCACGGUAAUUCCAGCUCCAAUAGAGUAUAUUUAAGUUAUUACAGUUAAAAAGCUCGUAGUUGUACUUUGGGAUGGGCCAGCCGGUCCGCCUAUGGUGUGCACUAGUAGUCUCGUCCCUUCUGUUGGUGAUGCACUCCUGGCCGUAACUGGCUGUGUCGUGCCUCCAGCAUUGUUAAUUUGGAUAAAUUAAAGUGCUCAAAGUAAGCCUACAUUCUAUAUAAAUUAGGAUGAGAUAAUAUUAUAGGAUUUCAUUCCUACUAUAAUGGCCUUCGGGAUCAUAGUAAUGAUUAACAGGGACAGUCGGGGGCACUUGUAUUUCAUAGUCAGAGGUAAAAUUCUUGGAUUUAUGAAAAAUGAACAACUGCGAAAACAUUUGCCAAGGAUGUUUUCAUUAAUAAAGAACAAAAGUGAGGGGCACGAAUAUGAUCAAAUACCAUCCUAGUCUCAACCAUAAAUGAUGCCGACCAGGGAUCAGUGAAUGUUGCUUUUAGGACUCUACUGCACCUUAUGAGAAAUCAAAGUUUAGGGGUUUCAGAAGGGAGGGGUAUGGUUGAAAGGCUGAAACUUAAAGGAAUUGAUGGAAAGGAACCACCAGGAGUGGAGCCUACGGCUUAAUUUGACUCAAUGGGUGGUGGCGCAUGGCCGUUAUUAGUUAGUGGAGCAAUUUUUCUGGUUAAUUCCAUUAAUGAAAGAGACCUCAGCCUCAUAACUAGCUAUGUGGAGGUAUUCCUUCCCUUCCAUCUUCUUAUAGGGACUACGACCUCUUAGGCCGUGGAAGUUUAAGGCAAUAAUAGGUCUGUGAUGCGCUUAGAUAUUCUAUGCCGCCCGCGUGCUACACUGAUAUAUUCAGUGAGUUUAUAGCCUUGGAUAAUUAGCCUGGGUAAUCUUUUAAACUUUAUUGUGAUGGGUAUAGAUCAUUGUAAUUGUUGUUCUUCAAUGAUGAAUUACUAGUAAGCGCGAGUCAUCAUCUCGCAUUGACUAAGUCCCUGCCCUUUGUAUACACCGCCCUUCACUCCUACCGAUUGAAUGAUCAAGAUAAAUAUUUGGAUUGUGGCGUCGUGGGUGGUUUGCUGCCCACAAUUUCAUGAGAAUUCCAUUGAACCUUAUCAUUUAGAUGAAGGAGAUUUCAUACAAGGUUUCCGUAGGUGAACCUGUAGAAGGAUCAUUG
Non-coding RNA from Capsicum annuum, 1715 nucleotides. NCBI's taxonomy places the organism in Eukaryota, Viridiplantae, Streptophyta, Magnoliopsida, Solanales, Solanaceae. The record is from Rfam.